This 414-nucleotide unclassified non-coding RNA is filed under the name Hevea brasiliensis (rubber tree). The record is from RNAcentral. Lineage: Eukaryota; Viridiplantae; Streptophyta; Magnoliopsida; Malpighiales; Euphorbiaceae.
AUUUUGGAAAUCACAAUACAUCCAAAUCCAGAGCUAAGGCCAAAAGCAGUAGAGGUAUUGCAUCAUCCUUUCUUUUGGAAUUCUGAGAUGCGACUCUCAUUCCUCCGAGACGCCAGUGAUAGAGUGGAAUUAGAGGAUAGAGAAGAUGGAUCUGAACUUUUGGGAGCACUGGAAAGUGUUAAGACCGUGGCAUUGGGUGGUCUGUGGAAUGAUAAAAUGGAUAGUGCAUUUAUCAAUGACAUUGGUCGCUACAGGCGUUACAAAUACGAUAGUGUCCGCGAUUUGUUGCGUGUUAUCAGAAAUAAGUUAAACCAUUACAGAGAGCUUUCAAAGGAAAUACAGGGAAUUCUUGGACAGGUUCCUGAAGGUUUUGAGAGCUAUUUCUCCACCAGGUUUCCUAGACUUGUAAUUGAG